This is a long non-coding RNA of Populus euphratica (Euphrates poplar), 555 nucleotides long. RefSeq lists it as uncharacterized. The record is from RefSeq and is a predicted model, not a curated record. Lineage: Eukaryota; Viridiplantae; Streptophyta; Magnoliopsida; Malpighiales; Salicaceae. The transcript has 3 exons.
CUUCAAGUCGCAAGAAUCAGCAAGAACUCGAACCGUUGUUUGCAGUAAAAAGAAACCCAAAUUACCUUAACUUGGAUGCUUCAGCUGUAAUUCUUAUAUGUUAAAGCUUCGAACUUUCUCAUAAAGUUUAAAUCUUUAUAGGUUUUUUUUUUUUUUGUUAAUGUUAUGAUUACAUGCUUAAUUUUGUGUUUUGUUUUGGUAUUUUUUUUGCGGGUUCUUAGCCUGCAUUAUAAAUAUGGAAUGUAGGGCAAUUAGCAAAUGAUUGUUAGUAUCAUUAACAAGAGCGGGAAGAAUUGGGUAUUUGGACGAUCCUUAUAUUCUGCCUUGUGUUGGUAAUGAUGCUGAUGGUCCCACUCCUUACGGCGAGCUCGCUUUUCCCCUUGAAGCUUAUGAUUCGAGGAAUAAUGGGGUGGCGCUUGUGCAACAACGAUCCCCUGCUGUUAAGGGGGAUGAUGGUUGAAUUUGCUAAGAACCUGGGUGAUUUUGCUGUUGCUACUGGAAUGAAGCAUGUAGUGGUGCUUUCUAGCUUAGAGUUUAUGAGAUUGCAAAAGACUG